AAUAACAAGCAGGAAAAAGGUUUCGAAAAUUUCGAAUUAAAAGGGAAAUCGGUGCAAAUCCGAUGCUGUUUCCGCAACUGUAACGUGCUGAUGAAAUGAGAACGAUGCCACUGUCGAUAUCGAUGGGAAGGCUCUCAAAGUAAAUUGACGCAUAAAGCCAGGAGACCUACCUUUUUCUGAUCGUAUUA
This 188-nucleotide non-coding RNA is filed under the name Caryophanon tenue. The record is from RNAcentral. Lineage: Bacteria; Bacillati; Bacillota; Bacilli; Caryophanales; Caryophanaceae.